UUUACAUUGAAAUAAAGCAUCUGACUGGCUGCGCAGUCGAGACGGGGGAGGGGCAAGGGCGGAGGCGGAGAGAGAGCUGAGCGGUCGCCUGGGUCCAGGUGGGAGACGCCGCGUCCCGCCCCGGGGCGUCCGGGAGUCGGAGCGCGGCGGCAGCAGCUACAGCCAGGCGGCCCAAAGCGCAGAAGCUAAACGGAUUCCAGGGCUUAGGGAAUCGGGGUAAGGGGAUGGUGACCAGACUGUAGUGCUGUCUUUGCUGAGACGGGCAACACCGAGCUCCGCUGACAACGCCUAGAUUCUGAGAUUUCUGUGGCACCCAAGUUAAACAUGCCUGGUCUUCAGGACGCUGGGGUUCCGGAAGCAGGAUGACGCGCUGGGAGGGUAUGAGACGGUCCAGAGCACGCCCGGGAGAGAGGGCGGCCCAGACGGCGCCCAGGGACCCGCACCCCGAGCCGGCCUGCGCUCCAGCCCUCCCUCCCUCACACACGCCGAAUCUCAGAACAUGAGGGCUGCUGUGAAAGUACCACGAACCGGGUUGCUUGAAGCAGCAGAACUAUAUUCUCUCACAGUUCUGGACAAACGUGGGAAAUCCAGCUACAGGCAGGGCCUUGCUCCUUCUGAGCCGUUGGGUAGAAACCUUCCUGGCCCAGCCUGGGGUUCCUGCAAUUGGCGUUCUUUGGCUUGCAGCUACAGGAGAAGAGGGCACAGAACAGAGAGGGACACAGCAGCUUGGGAAGGUCUCUCAGAGUGACUUUACAACCAGGUUUCAGGGGACUCCCAUUUGGACUCUGCUUUCUGGAGCCUGUGUUUGUAACAAGCCCCAAGUGACUCUGAUGCAGGGAGACAGUCUCACUUGCAACCCACCCCAUGGCUUCAGAAUAUGGGGGAGGUCUCCCCAAUGCUCCGCAGCCCACACCCAUGCCCUGCCCAGAGUGCACCCCAAGUAUGCAUGUAGAUGAACAACUGGGGGAAGUGUGAGAAUAAUGGAUCCCCACUGGAGGAGCCCAGUCCCAGGGAAAAUGAUUGGGAAUCUGCUGUGAGUACAGUGACAGGUGACAAGGGCCCUCAACAGUGUCAUGAGGGACACUUUUAUUGUUGUGAAGUCCACACACUAACCCCAAGCCUUGUGAAAUAGAGAUGGUUCAUUCGGUUAUCAAAUAUUUGGGUGCCAAAUAUAUGCAAGUCACUAUAUUCAGUGUUUUGGGAUUUGAGAAUUUUGCCAUAGUUCUUUUUUAAGCAAAUUAAAUAAAUUUAGGAAAUUAAUUUAGAAUUGUGCGUUUAAAAUUUUUAUUGUGCCAAUAAAAAUUUGUUUAAAAAAAUUUAAAGACUUUUCUUUAAAAAAAGUGCCGUCACGAAAGAUACUACUUUAUUGUUAUUUUAUUUUUCAUUUGUAUUCAUUUGUUUUUAAAUAGGUUAGUAGUCAAAAGUCUAUUAAAGAGGCUGGGUGUGGUGGCUCAUGCCUGUUAUCACAGCACUUUGGGAGGCCAAGGUGGGUGGAUCACUUGGGGUUAGGGGCUCAAGCCCAGCCUGGCCAACAAGGCGAAACUUCCUCUCUAUUAAGAACACAAAAUUAGUGGGACAUGGUGGCGGGCGCCUGUAGUCCCAGCUACUCAGGAGGCUGAGGCAGGAGAAUGGCUUGAAUCCGGGACGUGGAGGUUGCAGUGAGAUGAAAUUGAGCCACUGCACUCCAGCCUGU
Long non-coding RNA from Callithrix jacchus (white-tufted-ear marmoset), 1693 nucleotides. Lineage: Eukaryota; Metazoa; Chordata; Mammalia; Primates; Cebidae. The record is from Ensembl.